GAGUUUGAUCAUGGCUCAGGACGAACGCUGGCGGCGUGCCUAACACAUGCAAGUCGAGCGAAGAAGCCCCUUCGGGGGUGGAUUAGCGGCGGACGGGUGAGUAACACGUGGGUAACCUACCUCAAAGAGGGGGAUAGCCUCCCGAAAGGGAGAUUAAUACCGCAUAAAAGGUGAAUACCGCAUGGUAAAUACCUUAAAGGAGAAAUCCACUUUGAGAUGGGCCCGCGGCGCAUUAGCUAGUUGGAGGGAUAAAAGCCCCCAAGGACGACGAUGCGUAGCGACCUCGAGAGGGUGGAACGGACCGACC
RNAcentral lists this ribosomal RNA (307 nucleotides) under bacterium enrichment culture clone OZDCA140. Its description in RNAcentral is "bacterial SSU rRNA". It matches the Rfam family "Bacterial small subunit ribosomal RNA", at positions 9 to 312 of the family's 1533-position model. The record is from RNAcentral.